GGGACUGAGACACGGCCCAGACUCCUACGGGAGGCAGCAGUGGGGAAUCUUGCGCAAUGGGCGAAAGCCUGACGCAGCCAUGCCGCGUGAAUGAUGAAGGUCUUAGGAUUGUAAAAUUCUUUCACCGGGGACGAUGAUGACGGUACCCGGAGAAGAAGCCCCGGCUAACUUCGUGCCAGCAGCCGCGGUAAUACGAAGGGGGCUAGCGUUGCUCGGAAUUACUG
Molecule: ribosomal RNA, 224 nt
Filed under: uncultured bacterium
Lineage: Bacteria
Description: partial 16S ribosomal RNA
Rfam family: Bacterial small subunit ribosomal RNA
Source: RNAcentral